GAUGAACGCUGGCGGCGUGCCUAAUACAUGCAAGUCGAGCGAACGGACGAGAAGCUUGCUUCUCUGAUGUUAGCGGCGGACGGGUGAGUAACACGUGGAUAACCUACCUAUAAGACUGGGAUAACUUCGGGAAACCGGAGCUAAUACCGGAUGAUAUUUUGAACCGCAUGGUUCAAAAGUGAAAGACGGUCUUGCUGUCACUUAUAGAUGGAUCCGCGCUGCAUUAGCUAGUUGGUAAGGUAACGGCUUACCAAGGCAACGAUGCAUAGCCGACCUGAGAGGGUGAACGGCGACACUGGGACUGAGACACGGUACAGACUCCUACGGGAGGCAGAAGUAGGGAAUCUACCGAAAAGGGCGAAAGACUGAAGGAGCAACGCCGCGUGAGUGAUGAAGGUCUUCGGAUCGUAAAACUCUGUUAGUAGGGAAGAACAUAUGUGUAAGUAACUGUGCACAUCUUGACGGUACCUAAUCAGAAAGCAACGGCUAACUACGUG
RNAcentral lists this ribosomal RNA (497 nucleotides) under uncultured bacterium. Its description in RNAcentral is "partial 16S ribosomal RNA". It matches the Rfam family "Bacterial small subunit ribosomal RNA", at positions 28 to 507 of the family's 1533-position model. The record is from RNAcentral.